AACGUCAUUGCCAGUGGCUCCGAGGACUGCACAGUCAUGGUGAGUGAUGGUGGGGACCCAGGGGCUGGGAGAGGGGCUCUAGGAUGGGAUCUGACAUUUGGAGCCCUGAAGACUCACCUGUCCCCUCCUCUGCAGGUGUGGGAGAUCCCGGAUGGGGGCCUGAUGUUGCCCCUGCGGGAGCCUGUCGUCACCCUGGAGGGCCACACCAAGCGUGUAGGCAUUGUGGCCUGGCACCCCACAGCCCAGAACGUGCUGCUCAGUGCAGGUGCUGCGGGAGGAGGGGCCUGGGGGUGGCUGGUGGCCUGCACUGGAUAAGAGCAGGAGGCUCAUGGCUUCUGACACUGUGGGGAACGUGCAGGUUGUGACAACGUGAUCAUGGUGUGGGACGUGGGCACUGGGGCGGCCAUGCUGACGCUGGGCCCAGAGGUGCACCCAGACACGAUCUACAGUGUGGACUGGAGCCGAGACGGAGGCCUCAUUUGUACCUCCUGCCGUGACAAGCGCGUGCGCAUCAUCGAGCCCCGCAAAGGCACUGUUGUAGCUGAGAAGGAUCGUCCCCACGAGGGGACCCGGCCCGUGCGUGCAGUGUUCGUGUCGGAGGGGAAGAUCCUGACCACGGGCUUCAGCCGCAUGAGUGAGCGGCAGGUGGCGCUGUGGGACACAGUGAGUGCUGGGGCAGGAAGCUGAGGGCCCCCAGGCUGGGAACCAAGACUGGAGGUUUCCUCCCUGCUCUGCCACUCACCUGGCAGGAUGGCCACGGGCCUCAGUUUACCCAGGCGUGAGAUGGGUGUUCCCACUGGUUGGUUGGGAGGGCCCUCACAGGUCACUGCCCAGGGAAGACCACCAUCCCAGGGCCUGGGAUGUUACCUCUCACCUGUGUCUACAGAAGCACCUGGAGGAGCCGCUGUCCCUGCAGGAGCUGGACACCAGCAGCGGUGUCCUGCUGCCCUUCUUUGACCCUGACACCAACAUCGUCUACCUCUGUGGCAAGGUGGCCUCGUCAGGCAGGGUGGGGGUGGGAGGUGGGCAGGAUGGGCCUGGAGAGGGCCAGGGCAGCGGGCAUCUGCUGGUAUUGACCCUCCCUCUGCACCUGCCACCUACAGGGUGACAGCUCUAUCCGGUACUUUGAGAUCACUUCCGAGGCCCCGUUCCUGCACUAUCUCUCCAUGUUCAGUUCCAAGGAGUCCCAGCGGGGCAUGGGCUACAUGCCCAAACGUGGGCUGGAGGUGAACAAGUGUGAGAUCGCCAGGUGACUGACCCCCGGCCCUGACCGCAGCAUGCCCCUUAGGCAGUUCCAAGCCUGCCCAACCAGACUGUGGGCCCCGCUCACCUUCCCCUUCCCACAGGUUCUACAAGCUGCACGAGCGGAGGUGUGAGCCCAUUGCCAUGACAGUGCCUCGAAAGGUGAUGCUCCCCCGCCCCACCCUGGGCUCCAGGCUGGGCACUGACUUUGCAGUCUUGCAGGGGGAUGUCCUGGCAUAAGUGCUUUCCUCACUAUCCUUGGCCUUGCCUACAGUCGGACCUGUUCCAGGAGGACCUGUACCCACCCACCGCAGGGCCUGACCCUGCCCUCACGGCUGAGGAGUGGCUGGGGGGUCGGGAUGCUGGGCCCCUCCUCAUCUCCCUCAAGGAUGGCUACGUACCCCCAAAGAGCCGGGAGCUGAGGGUCAACCGGGGCCUGGACACUGGGCGCAGGAGGGCAGCACCAGAGGCCAGUGGCACUCCCAGCUCGGUGAGAGGGCCAGGAAGCCAAGGAAUAAAACUGGGAGGGUGGGGUGGGGCUGGCAUUUGGGGCAGCUCAAACUCACAACAUUGGGAAUCUUUGCGGGGCUGGGAGUGGUAAUCCUGAGGCCUCAGAACACAGGUUUCAGACUGGUAGGCCUGCAGGUCUCCAGGCAGCAACCAGCUGAGCAACUAAAGGGCCCAAGGCCAGGGCUCUAGGGAUGGGGCUCAGCAGAUGCUGGGGCAAGGGGAGCCAGGGAGGAGCUGGGCCUAAUGCAGCACCGCGUCCCCAGGAUGCCAUGUCCCGGCUGGAGGAGGAGAUGCGGAAGCUCCAGGCCACGGUGCAGGAGCUCCAGAAGCGCUUGGACAGGCUGGAGGAGACAGUCCAGGCCAAGUAGAGCCCCACAGGGACUUCAGCAGGGUCAGCCAUUCACACCCAUCCACUCACUUCCCAUUCCCAGCCACAUGGCAGAGAAAAAAAUCAUAAUAAAAUGGCUUUAUUUUCUGGU
RNAcentral lists this small RNA (2231 nucleotides) under Pongo abelii (Sumatran orangutan). Its description in RNAcentral is "retained intron". The record is from RNAcentral. Lineage: Eukaryota; Metazoa; Chordata; Mammalia; Primates; Hominidae.